AGUUCUGCUAACCUUGAUUUGAAUCUCUGAUGGGUCACUUGCUACUAUGUAACCUUGGAGAAUUACUGAAACUUGAGUUUCAGUUUUUUCUUACAUUAAAAAUAAAAUAGGCCGGGCGCAGUGGCUCACGCCUGUAAUCCCAGCACUUUGGGAGGCCGAGGCGGGUGGAUCACGAGGUCAACAGAUCGAGACCAUCCUGCAGAACUUGUAGUUGGCACAACCCCCAGCAAAGAUGGCAGAAAAAACACCAUUGAGCAGGAAAGCCAACUGCAACCAGCAACCACCCCUAAGAAUGUAGUACAGUAGAGGAAAGACAGUUGGAGGGAAAAAAUCUGGAAUGCUGGAGAGAUCACUCAACCCCCAGGGGGAAUACAGAAAAAGAAACAGACAAAUGCAGCUGAUAUACAACAUGGGAAGAUAAACAUGAGCUUUCCCAUACACCUCUGGCAACUAUGCAAUUAUUUUAGGCUCCACUGCUACUCGGGUGAGUAAGUCUUGCAGAGUGUUUGCUUUCUACCAAGUAGAACUUUUCAAUAGUGACAUUCCUCAUGUGAUUCCAAUAGCCUAAAACACAAUUUCUUUCCAUUUCCUUUUCCCAAUUUAUUCAGCACUUUGACGGAGAGGUCUUAAACUUUUUCCGGGUGAAAUACCUGCUUUUAUAUCUAUAAUAGAAUAAAAAUAUCAUUGUAUCACAAUUAUUUUGUUUCCUCUUUCCAGCCUUAUAUGAGACUCUUGGGAAUGGGGAUCUUAUUCCCCUUCACAUCUGCACUAUUCCUUUCCCAGGGUUCCAGGCACUUAGUAGCUGCAUUAUAAAUGAACAACCUCUCAGCCUUUAGAUAGAAGUGCCAUUUUUUAAAUGAGAGAAAUGUGUGACUCAGUGCCAUUCAUUAUUAUUACCUGACAUAAGACUACACAUGUUUCCUUUUCAUUAGGAACUUCAUCUGUGUUAAUGGAAGCUUGCACAUUGCCUUCUUGAGAAUUCACAAGUAGCUGUUCUCUCCUUAUGUUACUACAAAGUCAGAAUAAUAAAAGCAUCUUACAUCAUAGACCUGGCAUUGGAUUAGCUCAGUGAGUGCGUUUUCCAUAUAAAGAUCAAUGAAGAAAAGUCAAGAGUGAUUACUAAUUAAAUGAAGAGAAAAUGUUCUGAUUCAAAGCCAAUUGAUCAUUUUCCUUGGAAAGAUGUUUUAGCAUCUCCCUUCUGCAAAGUGCCCUGAUUUUCAUGGACCUAAGGAUGCUGACUUUUUAGAAAGAUUUCAGGUACUCUCACCUAAGAGGUGAAUUUGGAAAGGGGCAUUUCCAGAAUUGAAGUAAUACAGUGGUUGGUUUUUGUAUCAGACCUGCAACUCUUAACAAAUAAAUGGGAAAUCUAGAGAUAAAUUUCUAGAAAAAAAAUCUGCUUGGGCUGUACUAAAAUAAUCUGGGUGAUUUUUAAUUGAAGCUACCAGAUACAUUACGUUUUUCAGCCAAGUCACUAACAGCAGUCAACAAUGCCAAAUGCUGACUUGUAAAAAUGAUGCUCAUUUGUGAAAUUAUACCCAUUAAAUAACACCCUAGUUUUCAUUUUUAAUAAAUGAACAAUUACACUGCAGACUGACCAAAAUUAUAUCUUGUCACAAUUCAC
Callithrix jacchus (white-tufted-ear marmoset) is the source of this 1621-nucleotide long non-coding RNA. The record is from Ensembl. NCBI's taxonomy places the organism in Eukaryota, Metazoa, Chordata, Mammalia, Primates, Cebidae.